This 460-nucleotide ribosomal RNA is filed under the name uncultured bacterium. Its description in RNAcentral is "partial 16S ribosomal RNA". It matches the Rfam family "Bacterial small subunit ribosomal RNA", at positions 338 to 795 of the family's 1533-position model. The record is from RNAcentral.
CCUACGGGUGGCAGCAGUGGGGAAUAUUGCGCAAUGGGCGCGAGCCUGAACCAGCCAAGUAGCGUGAAGGAUGACUGCCCUACGGGUUGUAAACUUCUUUUAUAAAGGAAUAAAGUGAGGCACGUGUGCCUUUUUGUAUUUACUUUAUGAAUAAGGAUCGGCUAACUCCGUGCCAGCAGCCGCGGUAAUACGGAGGAUCCGAGCGUUAUCCGGAUUUAUUGGGUUUAAAGGGAGCGUAGAUGGGUUGUUAAGUCAGGUGUGAAAGUUUGCGGCUCAACCGUAAAAUUGCAAUUGAUACUGGCAGUCUGGAGUAGAGUUGAGGUAGGCGGAAUUCGUGGUGUAGCAGUGAAAUGCUUAGAUAUCACGAAGAACUCCGAUUGCGAAGGCAGCUUUCUAACAUGCCACUGACAUUGAUGCGCGAAAGUGUGGGUAGCAAACAGGAUUAGAUACCCCUGUAGUC